RNAcentral lists this ribosomal RNA (414 nucleotides) under uncultured Microvirga sp. RNAcentral describes it as "bacterial SSU rRNA". It matches the Rfam family "Bacterial small subunit ribosomal RNA", at positions 966 to 1383 of the family's 1533-position model. The record is from RNAcentral. Lineage: Bacteria; Pseudomonadati; Pseudomonadota; Alphaproteobacteria; Hyphomicrobiales; Methylobacteriaceae.
CCCAGCCUUUUACAUGUCCCGUGUGGAUCCUGGAGACAGGAUUCUUCAGUUCGGCUGGCGGGAACACAGGUGCUGCAUGGCUGUCGUCAGCUCGUGUCGUGAGAUGUUGGGUUAAGUCCCGCAACGAGCGCAACCCUCGCCCUUAGUUGCCAUCAUUCGGUUGGGCACUCUAAGGGGACUGCCGGUGAUAAGCCGAGAGGAAGGUGGGGAUGACGUCAAGUCCUCAUGGCCCUUACGGGCUGGGCUACACACGUGCUACAAUGGCGGUGACAAAGGGCAGCGAACCCGCGAGGGGGAGCUAAUCCUUAAAAAGCCGUCUCAGUUCAGAUUGCACUCUGCAACUCGAGUGCAUGAAGGCGGAAUCGCUAGUAAUCGUGGAUCAGAACGCCACGGUGAAUACGUUCCCGGGUCUUG